Molecule: ribosomal RNA, 253 nt
Filed under: uncultured bacterium
Lineage: Bacteria
Description: partial 16S ribosomal RNA
Rfam family: Bacterial small subunit ribosomal RNA
Source: RNAcentral
UACAGAGGAUGCAAGCGUUAUCCGGAAUGAUUGGGCGUAAAGCGUCUGUAGGUGGCUUUUUAAGUCCGCCGUCAAAUCCCAGGGCUCAACUCUGGACAGGCGGUGGAAACUGCCAAGCUGGAGUACGGUAGGGGCAGAGGGAAUUUCCGGUGGAGCGGUGAAAUGCGUAGAGAUCGGGAGGAACACCUGUGGCGAAGGCGGCCCCCUGGGCCGGCCCUGACACUGAGACGCGAAGGCGUGGGGAGCGAACGGG